RNAcentral lists this ribosomal RNA (406 nucleotides) under uncultured bacterium. Its description in RNAcentral is "partial 16S ribosomal RNA". It matches the Rfam family "Bacterial small subunit ribosomal RNA", at positions 29 to 526 of the family's 1533-position model. The record is from RNAcentral.
AGUGAACGCUGGCGGUAGGCCUAACACAUGCAAGUCGAACGAGUGGCGGACGGGUGAGGAAUACAUCGGAAUCUACUUUUUCGUGUGGGAUAACGUAGGGAAACUUACGCUAAUACCGCAUACGAUUGAAUGAGCCGAUGUUGGAUUAGCUAGUUGGCGGGGUAAAGGCCCACCAAGGCGACGAUCCGUAGCUGGUCUGAGAGGAUGAUCAGCCACACUGGAACGGAGACACGGGCCAGACUCAUACGGGAGGCAGCAGUGGGGAAUAUUGGACAAUGGGCGCAAGCCUGAGCCAGCCAUACCGCGUGGGUGAAGAAGGCCUUCGGGUUGUAAAGCCCUUUUGUUGGGAAAGCGGUACCCAAAGAAUAAGCACCGGCUAACUUCGUGCCAGCCACCGCGGUAAUAC